RNAcentral lists this ribosomal RNA (116 nucleotides) under Porticoccaceae bacterium. RNAcentral also lists the same sequence under 2 other names. Lineage: Bacteria; Pseudomonadati; Pseudomonadota; Gammaproteobacteria; Cellvibrionales; Porticoccaceae. The record is from RNAcentral.
CCUGGUGACCAUAGAGAACUAGAACCACCUGAUCCCAUACCGAACUCAGUAGUGAAAUGGUUCAUCGCCGAUGGUAGUGUGGGGUCUCCCCAUGUGAGAGUAGGUCAUUGCCAGGC